UAGAUAAUCGCUAGGAAACUAGAGGAAAGUCCAUGCUCGCACAGACUGAGAUGUCUGUAGUGUUUGUGCCGGUAUAUAAAAAAUAAAACCGGGCAUUAAUUUGACGGCUGAUAAACUCCUAAUACUUUUAGUGAUGGAGCUAGUCUAUAAAAGUGCCAUAGAGACGAGUUAAAGUGAAAAUUUUAAAGUGGAACGAGGUAAACCCCGCAAGCGAGAAACCCAAAUUAGGUAGGGGAAUUUUGAUAGAGAAAUGAAUCGAAUCAAAAACAGCAAUGUAGAUAAAUGAUUAUCGUUAUACAGAACAUGGCUUAUU
This 313-nucleotide RNase P RNA is filed under the name pig gut metagenome. RNAcentral describes it as "Bacterial RNase P class B". It matches the Rfam family "Bacterial RNase P class B". Rfam says of the family: Ribonuclease P (RNase P) is a ubiquitous endoribonuclease, found in archaea, bacteria and eukarya as well as chloroplasts and mitochondria. Its best characterised activity is the generation of mature 5'-ends of tRNAs by cleaving the 5'-leader elements of precursor-tRNAs. The record is from RNAcentral.